RNAcentral lists this ribosomal RNA (230 nucleotides) under uncultured bacterium. RNAcentral's name for it is "partial 16S ribosomal RNA". It matches the Rfam family "Bacterial small subunit ribosomal RNA", at positions 524 to 750 of the family's 1533-position model. The record is from RNAcentral.
UACGUAGGGUGCAAGCGUUGUCCGGAAUUAUUGGGCGUAAAGAGCUCGUAGGCGGUCUGUCACGUCGGCUGUGAAAACCCGAGGCUCAACCUCGGGCCUGCAGUCGAUACGGGCAAACUAGAGUACUGCAGGGGAGACUGGAAUUCCUGGUGUAGCGGUGAAAUGCGCAGAUAUCAGGAGGAACACCCGGUGGCGAAGGCGGGUCUCUGGGCGAGUGAACUGACGUGGAG